This 714-nucleotide ribosomal RNA is filed under the name Dasytricha ruminantium. Its description in RNAcentral is "SSU rRNA". It matches the Rfam family "Eukaryotic small subunit ribosomal RNA", at positions 109 to 951 of the family's 1831-position model. The record is from RNAcentral. Lineage: Eukaryota; Ciliophora; Litostomatea; Vestibuliferida; Isotrichidae.
GUUAUAGUUUAUUUGAUAUAUUAAAUGGAUAACUGUAGAAAAACUAGAGCUAAUACAUGCCGAAGCCGCAAGGUUGUAUUUAUUAGAUAUUCCAAUUAGGUGAAUCAUGAUAACUUUUCAAAUCUCGGUUUUGCCGAGAUAAAUCAUCCAAGUUUCUGCCCUAUCAUGCUUUCGAUGGUAGUGUAUUGGACUACCAUGGCUUUCACGGGUAACAGGGAAUUAGGGUUCGAUUCUGGAGAAGGAGCCUGAGAAACGGCUACUACAUCUACGGAAGGCAGCAGGCGCGUAAAUUACCCAAUCCUGACUCAGGGAGGUGGUGACAAGAUAUAACAACGCAAUUUAAUUGUGAUUGUAGUGAGGGUUUUCCAAACCGAACCACUAGUACGAUUAGAGGGCAAGUCUGGUGCCAGCAGCCGCGGUAAUUCCAGCUCUAAUAGCGUAUAUUAAAGUUGCUGCAGUUAAAAAGCUCGUAGUUGGAUUUCAAGGAUUGUGUACUCUUCUAGGGUAUGCACCCUACUAGUCUUUGACUGUUACUGUGAGAAAAUUAGAGUGUUUAAAGCAGGCAAUUGCAAGAAUACAUUAGCAUGGAAUAACGAAUGUAUCUAGAAUCUUGGUUAAUUCUAGGUUUCGAUUAAUAGAGACAGUUGGGGGCAUUAGUAUUUAAUUGUCAGAGGUGAAAUUCUUGGAUUUGUUAAAGACUAACGUAUGCGAAAG